This 494-nucleotide ribosomal RNA is filed under the name uncultured bacterium. RNAcentral's name for it is "partial 16S ribosomal RNA". It matches the Rfam family "Bacterial small subunit ribosomal RNA", at positions 31 to 507 of the family's 1533-position model. The record is from RNAcentral.
GAACGCUGGCGGCGUGCCUAAUACCUGCAAGUCGAGCGAACAGACGAGGAGCUUGCUCCUCUGACGUUCGCGGCGGACGGGUGAGUAACACGUGGAUAACCUACCUAUAAGACUGGGAUAACUUCGGGAAACCGGAGCUAAUACCGGAUAAUAUAUUGAACCGCAUGGUUCAAUAGUGAAAGACGGUUUUGCUGUCACUUAUAGAUGGAUCCGCGCCGCAUUAGCUAGUUGGUAAGGUAACGGCUUACCAAGGCAACGAUGCGUAGCCGACCUGAGAGGGUGAUCGGCCACACUGGAACUGAGACACGGUCCAGACUCCUACGGGAGGCAGCAGUAGGGAAUCUUCCGCAAUGGGCGAAAGCCUGACGGAGCAACGCCGCGUGAGUGAUGAAGGUCUUCGGAUCGUAAAACUCUGUUAUUAGGGAAGAACAAAUGUGUAAGUAACUAUGCACGUCUUGACGGUACCUAAUCAGAAAGCCACGGCUAACUACGUG